This 1002-nucleotide long non-coding RNA is filed under the name Piliocolobus tephrosceles (Ugandan red Colobus). RNAcentral's name for it is "lncRNA (ENSPTEG00000003415.1)". Lineage: Eukaryota; Metazoa; Chordata; Mammalia; Primates; Cercopithecidae. The record is from RNAcentral.
AGACAUCUGAAGAUGUGGCACCGUUUGACGAGAAACCCAAACCUCUCGCAACAGUGGGAUUCCUCCCCCAUCCCUACGUCUCACGCUGCCGUCCUCACAUGUUCUGUGACUCAGACCCCACGAAGCUCAUGAUGCUGGACACGCACGCGUGCAGAUUUGCCGUUUAAAAGAGAUGACGAGGAGAGGACAGGCUCCUUGCUUACCUGCACGGCCACACGUGGGCUGUUGCCACCCUACCCUUUGGCGAGUUCCUUACCUUGUGCAGAUCACGCAGCUGUAGCACGUUUUGUCAUGCGGCUCCUAGGACUGCAAAUUUUCUCAGUUUCAUUUACUUCAAAGCACUUUUAUUUCACCUUCACCUUCACUCUGAGGAUUUCUUGCUGGAUUUGGAGCGGUGGGGCGGCUCCUCGCUUUCAUUCCUCUGCCCCCCGCCCUCCGCCCUCCGCCCCCCGCCCUCCGCCCUCCGCCCUCCGCCCUCCGCCCUCUGCCCUCUGGUUUUUGAUGAGGAGGCACCGGCAUUCGGCACCUCUGGCCGCCCUUUUCUCCGGCUUCUCCCAAAUUUUCUUCGGUUUUCAGCAGUUUGACUGUGCUGUGCCUACAUGCUCAGUAAAUACUCCCACCUUCACCUUGGCCUCCCAAGCAGCUGGGACCAUAGGCACAUGCACCACCAUCGCCACCAUCGCCAACAUCACCACCAUCACCAACAUUGUCACCAUCACCACCACCGCCACCACCACCACCACCACCACCAUCGCCACCACCGCCACUAUCGCCAACAUCAUCACCACUGCCACCACCAUCACCACCACUGCCACCACCAUCACCACCACCGCCACCAUCGCCACCACCGCCACCACCGCCACCACCGCCACCAUGUCACCAUCACCACCAUCGCCACCACCGCCACCACCGCCACCAUCGCCAACAUCGUCACCAUCACCACCACCACCACCAUCGCCACCACCGCCACCACCAUCGCCACCAUCGCCACCACUGCCACCA